RNAcentral lists this ribosomal RNA (207 nucleotides) under uncultured bacterium. Its description in RNAcentral is "partial 16S ribosomal RNA". It matches the Rfam family "Bacterial small subunit ribosomal RNA", at positions 292 to 518 of the family's 1533-position model. The record is from RNAcentral.
CUGAGAGGGUGAUCGGCCACAUUGGGACUGAGACACGGUCCAAACUCCUACGGGAGGCAGCAGUGGGGAAUAUUGCACAAUGGGGGAAACCCUGAUGCAGCGACGCCGCGUGAAGGAAGAAGUUUUUCCGGUAUGUAAACUUCUUCAGCAGGGAAGAAAUGACGUACCUGACUAAGAAGCCCCGGCUACCUACGUGCCAGCAGCCGC